RNAcentral lists this unclassified non-coding RNA (391 nucleotides) under soil metagenome. RNAcentral describes it as "partial contains 5.8S ribosomal RNA, internal transcribed spacer 2, and large subunit ribosomal RNA". The stretch from base 1 to 122 matches the Rfam family "5.8S ribosomal RNA", at positions 35 to 154 of the family's 154-position model. The record is from RNAcentral.
GAUGAAGAACGUAGCGAAAUGCGAUACUUGGUGUGAAUUGCAGAAUCCCGUGAACCAUCGAGUCUUUGAACGCAAGUUGCGCCCGAAGCCAUUAGGCCGAGGGCACGCCUGCCUGGGCGUCACACGUCGUUGCCCCCCCAUCUACUCCUUCGGGAUUGCGGGGGGCGGAUGAUGGCCUCCCGUGCGCCUCGCCGCACGGUUGGCAUAAAUGCCAAGUCCUCGGCGACGCACGCCACGACAAUCGGUGGUUGCGAAACCUCGGUUGCCCGUCGUGUGCGGUCGUCGCGCAUCGAGGGCUCGAAAAAAUUGCCGGGUUCCGGCUCGGCUUUCAACGCGACCCCAGGUCAGGCGGGGUUACCCGCUGAAUUUAAGCAUAUCAAUAAGCGGAGGA